GAUUGAACGCUGGCGGCAUGCCUUACACAUGCAAGUCGAACGGCAGCACGGGAGCAAUCCUGGUGGCGAGUGGCGAACGGGUGAGUAAUAUAUCGGAACGUGCCCAGUCGUGGGGGAUAACGUAGCGAAAGCUACGCUAAUACCGCAUACGAUCUACGGAUGAAAGCGGGGGAUCGCAAGACCUCGCGCGAUUGGAGCGGCCGAUAUCAGAUUAGCUAGUUGGUGGGGUAAAAGCUCACCAAGGCGACGAUCUGUAGCUGGUCUGAGAGGACGACCAGCCACACUGGAACUGAGACACGGUCCAGACUCCUACGGGAGGCAGCAGUGGGGAAUUUUGGACAAUGGGGGAAACCCUGAUCCAGCCAUGCCGCGUGUAUGAAGAAGGCCUUAGGGUUGUAAAGUACUUUUGUCAGGGAAGAAAAGCUUAAUAUUAAUACUAUUAAGUCAUGACGGUACCUGAAGAAUAAGCACCGGCUAACUACGUG
Molecule: ribosomal RNA, 485 nt
Filed under: uncultured bacterium
Lineage: Bacteria
Description: bacterial SSU rRNA
Rfam family: Bacterial small subunit ribosomal RNA
Source: RNAcentral